GGCCUCUGGACACUUACAAUCAUGGCAGAAGGCGAAGGGGAAGCAGGCACCUUCUUCUCAAGGCAGCAGGAGAGCCAGUGAGUUCAGGGUAAACUGCCACUUUUAAACCAUCAGAUCUCGUGAAAAUUCCCUCACUAUCAGGAGAACAGCAUGGGGAAAACUGCCUCAUAAUCCUCCCACCAGGUCCCUCCCUCAACAUAUGGGGAUUACAAUUCGAGAUGAGAUUUGGGUGGAGACACAGAGCCAAACCAUCUCAAUCGGAGUGCUUUGUUCUCUAUGGCGCCUCACCAGUGGAAUACUAGCCUCUUAAUUUUUUUAGUUACUCGGAAUGAUAAACCACUGUCCCAGCUUAGCAAUGGCUGGAAAGAGGUGGAUACAAAAAGAAGGCAACUAGGGAUUUUGUGGCCUUUUACUUUCAUAGAUGUGUGAUGCGUAUUGUUACUUUCAGUGAACCUGUAAUACGAGCCCAAAAGACGCAAAGGGUUAAAGAAUGCAGGUUACGUGAAGAAAUGUGAACCAAGUGCAACUUCAGCAAAGUCACCCAAGGCGGCACUGAUGAAGAGACUGCUAACUAGAUAGCCAGAGAAUCACAAGACAGCCACUUCAUGAGAGAUCCAGAAUAGAAACUGCUUAUUCCAAUAGGGAAAAAUAUUCACAGUGCUGCUUUCUUCAGCUUCCAAGGAAUGCACAAAUAUAUUUUUGUAACACAAUAUGCUUAUUAGUCAUUAUAUGAAUUAAGCUGCCUCCCUUGCAUCAAUAUUAUAGCUGACAUGGAAGCAAAACUUUUAUCCUUUUCAGAUAGUAUCAACUAUUUAAAUGUGCCCUUUAAUUUUCACUAUAUUAAAUUUAUUUUUGGACUUUAAUCAUGCUCUCUUGAAUUUGCUUGGUUAUUCAUAUCGUAUGUCCCU
This 908-nucleotide long non-coding RNA is filed under the name Homo sapiens (human). Its description in RNAcentral is "HSALNT0252807". The record is from RNAcentral. Lineage: Eukaryota; Metazoa; Chordata; Mammalia; Primates; Hominidae.